RNAcentral lists this ribosomal RNA (402 nucleotides) under Verrucomicrobiota bacterium. Its description in RNAcentral is "Verrucomicrobia bacterium partial 16S ribosomal RNA". It matches the Rfam family "Bacterial small subunit ribosomal RNA", at positions 355 to 776 of the family's 1533-position model. Lineage: Bacteria; Pseudomonadati; Verrucomicrobiota. The record is from RNAcentral.
UGGGGAAUUUUGCACAAUGGGGGAAACCCUGAUGCAGCGACGCCGCGUGAUUUAGAAGGCCUUCGGGUUGUAAAAAACUUUUUUAUGGGAUGAAAAUGACAGUACCAUAAGAAUAAGGUCCGGCUAAAUACGUGCCAGCAGCCGCGGUAAUACGUAUGGACCGAGCGUUGUCCGGAAUCAUUGGGCGUAAAGGGUACGUAGGCGGCCCAGUAAGUUAGAAGUGAAAUAAUAUAGCUCAACUAUAUAAAGCUUUUAAAACUGCUAGGCUUGAGAGAUGGAAGGGAAAGUGGAAUUCCUAGUGUAGCGGUGAAAUGCGCAGAUAUUAGGAAGAAUACCGGUGGCGAAGGCGACUUUCUGGUCAUCAUCUGACGCUGAGGUACGAAAGCGUGGGUAGCAAACAGG